GAUGAACGCUGGCGGCGUGCCUAAUGCAUGCAAGUCGAGCGAACAGACGAGGAGCUUGCUCCUCUGACGUUAGCGGCGGACGGGUGAGUAACACGUGGAUAACCUACCUAUAAGACUGGGAUAACUUCGGGAAACCGGAGCUAAUACCGGAUAAUAUAUUGAACCGCAUGGUUCAAUAGUGAAAGACGGUUUUGCUGUCUCUUAUAGAUGGAUCCGCGCCGCAUUAGCUAGUUGGUAAGGUAACGGCUUACCAAGGCAACGAUGCGUAGCCGACCUGAGAGGGUGAUCGGCCACACUGGAAGUGAGACACGGUCCAGACUCCUACGGGAGGCAGCAGUAGGGAAUCUUCCGCAAUGGGCGAAAGCCUGACGGAGCAACGCCGCGUGAGUGAUGAAGGUCUUCGGAUCGUAAAACUCUGUUAUUAGGGAAGAACAAAUGUGUAAGUAACUAUGCACGUCUUGACGGUACCUAAUCAGAAAGCCACGGCUAACUACGUG
RNAcentral lists this ribosomal RNA (497 nucleotides) under uncultured bacterium. Its description in RNAcentral is "partial 16S ribosomal RNA". It matches the Rfam family "Bacterial small subunit ribosomal RNA", at positions 28 to 507 of the family's 1533-position model. The record is from RNAcentral.